UGGGGUAUAGCCAAGUGGUUUAAGGCAGUGGGUUUUGAUCCCACCAUUCCUAGGUUCGAAUCCUGGUACCCCAG
Molecule: transfer RNA, 74 nt
Rfam family: tRNA
About the family: Transfer RNA (tRNA) molecules are approximately 80 nucleotides in length. Their secondary structure includes four short double-helical elements and three loops (D, anti-codon, and T loops). Further hydrogen bonds mediate the characteristic L-shaped molecular structure. tRNAs have two regions of fundamental functional importance: the anti-codon, which is responsible for specific mRNA codon recognition, and the 3' end, to which the tRNAs corresponding amino acid is attached (by aminoacyl-tRNA synthetases). tRNAs cope with the degeneracy of the genetic code in two manners: having more than one tRNA (with a specific anti-codon) for a particular amino acid; and 'wobble' base-pairing, i.e. permitting non-standard base-pairing at the 3rd anti-codon position.
Source: Rfam